AGACCCGAAACCCGGUGAUCUAGCCAUGGGCAGGUUGAAGGUUGGGUAACACUAACUGGAGGACCGAACCGACUAAUGUUGAAAAAUUAGCGGAUGACCUGUGGCUGGGGGUGAAAGGCCAAUCAAACCGGGAGAUAGCUGGUUCUCCCCGAAAGCUAUUUAGGUAGCGCCUCGUGAAUUCAUCUCCGGGGGUAGAGCACUGUUUCGGCUAGGGGGCCAUCCCGGCUUACCAACCCGAUGCAAACUGCGAAUACCGGAGAAUGUUAUCACGGGAGACACACGGCGGGUGCUAACGUCCGUCGUGAAGAGGGAAACAACCCAGACCGCCAGCUAAGGUCCCAAAGUCAUGGUUAAGUGGGAAACGAUGUGGGAAGGCCCAGACAGCCAGGAUGUUGGCUUAGAAGCAGCCAUCAUUUAAAGAAAGCGUAAUAGCUCACUGGUCGAGUCGGCCUGCGCGGAAGAUGUAACGGGGCUAAACCAUGCACCGAAGCUGCGGCAGCGAACGUAUCACUUAAAGCGAUUCAGCGGGUUACGAUUGACGGAGCGAAGCGACGUCAAAGCGUAUACAAAGUCGAGUCGGUUUAAGGAUACGUUCGUUGGGUAGGGGAGCGUUCUGUAAGCCUGUGAAGGUGGCCUGUGAGGGUUGCUGGAGGUAUCAGAAGUGCGAAUGCUGACAUAAGUAACGAUAAAGCGGGUGAAAAGCCCGCUCGCCGGAAGACCAAGGGUUCCUGUCCAACGUUAAUCGGGGCAGGGUGAGUCGACCCCUAAGGCGAGGCCGAAAGGCGUAGUCGAUGGGAAACAGGUUAAUAUUCCUGUACUUGGUGUUACUGCGAAGGGGGGACGGAGAAGGCUAUGUUGGCCGGGCGACGGUUGUCCCGGUUUAAGCGUGUAGGUGUGUGUUCCAGGUAAAUCCGGUUCACUUUAACACUGAGGCGUGAUGACGAGGCACUACGGUGCUGAAGCAACAAAUGCCCUGCUUCCAGGAAAAGCCUCUAAGCAUCAGGUAACAUCAAAUCGUACCCCAAACCGACACAGGUGGUCAGGUAGAGAAUACCAAGGCGCUUGAGAGAACUCGGGUGAAGGAACUAGGCAAAAUGGUGCCGUAACUUCGGGAGAAGGCACGCUGACACGUAGGUGAAGUGAUUUACUCAUGGAGCUGAAGUCAGUCGAAGAUACCAGCUGGCUGCAACUGUUUAUUAAAAACACAGCACUGUGCAAACACGAAAGUGGACGUAUACGGUGUGACGCCUGCCCGGUGCCGGAAGGUUAAUUGAUGGGGUCAGCGCAAGCGAAGCUCCUGAUCGAAGCCCCGGUAAACGGCGGCCGUAACUAUAACGGUCCUAAGGUAGCGAAAUUCCUUGUCGGGUAAGUUCCGACCUGCACGAAUGGCGUAAUGAUGGCCAGGCUGUCUCCACCCGAGACUCAGUGAAAUUGAACUCGCUGUGAAGAUGCAGUGUACCCGCGGCAAGACGGAAAGACCCCGUGAACCUUUACUAUAGCUUGACACUGAACAUUGAGCCUUGAUGUGUAGGAUAGGUG
RNAcentral lists this ribosomal RNA (1539 nucleotides) under Salmonella enterica subsp. enterica serovar Thompson. RNAcentral describes it as "partial 23S ribosomal RNA". It matches the Rfam family "Bacterial large subunit ribosomal RNA", at positions 711 to 2149 of the family's 2925-position model. The record is from RNAcentral. Lineage: Bacteria; Pseudomonadati; Pseudomonadota; Gammaproteobacteria; Enterobacterales; Enterobacteriaceae.